UGGGGAAUUUUGGACAAUGGGCGCAAGCCUGAUCCAGCCAUGCCGCGCGCAGGAUGAAGGCCUUCGGGUUGUAAACUGCUUUUGUACGGAACGAAAAGGUGCCUUCUAAUAAAGGGCGCUCAUGACGGUACCGUAAGAAUAAGCACCGGCUAACUACGUGCCAGCAGCCGCGGUAAUACGUAGGGUGCGAGCGUUAAUCGGAAUUACUGGGCGUAAAGCGUGCGCAGGCGGUUUUGUAAGACAGAGGUGAAAUCCCCGGGCUCAACCUGGGAACUGCCUUUGUGACUGAAAGGCUGGAGUGCGGCAGAGGGGGAUGGAAUUCCGCGUGUAGCAGUGAAAUGCGUAGAUAUGCGGAGGAACACCGAUGGCGAAGGCAAUCCCCUGGGCCUGCACUGACGCUCAUGCACGAAAGCGUGGGGAGCAAACA
Molecule: ribosomal RNA, 427 nt
Filed under: uncultured bacterium
Lineage: Bacteria
Description: bacterial SSU rRNA
Rfam family: Bacterial small subunit ribosomal RNA
Source: RNAcentral